UGAGUCCGAGGAACUAAGGUUCCAAAGUGAUGCGAGUCAUACUUCCCAGAAAAGCCCGAACCACGUUAAUUUCUAAUUACCUGUACCCGAAACCGACACAGGUGGGUAGGUAGAGUAUACUAAGGGGCGCGAGAUAACUCUCUCUAAGGAACUCGGCAAAAUGACUCCGUAACUUCGGGAGAAGGAGUGCCUUAUUUAUAAGGUUGCAAUAACAAGAUCCAAGCAACUGUUUAUCAAAAACACAGGUCUCCGCUAAGUCGUAAGACGAUGUAUGGGGGCUGACGCCUGCCCAGUGCCAGAAGGUUAAAGAAGUUGGUUAGUGUAUGCGAAGCUGAUGACUGAAGCCCUGGUGAACGGCGGCCGUAACAAUAACGGUCCUAAGGUAGCGAAAUUCCUUGUCGGGUAAGUUCCGACCCGCACGAAAGGCGUAAUGAUUUGGAUACUGUCUCGGAGAGAGGCUCGGUGAAAUAGACUUGUCUGUGAAGAUGCGGACUACCUGCACCAGGACAGAAAGACCCUAUGAAGCUUUACUGUAACUUGAAAUUGGAAUUGGACUUUGCUUGCGCAGUAUAGGUGGGAAGCGUUGAAGAUAUUCUUGCGGGAGUAUUGGAGCUAUCAGUGAGAUACCACUCUUGUAAUGUUAGAUUUCUAACUUUGAACCAUAAUCUGGUCAAAGAACAGUUUCAGGUGGGCAGUUUGACUGGGGCGGUCGCCUCCCAAAUGGUAACGGAGGCGUACAAAGGUUUCCUCUGAACGGAUAGAAAUCGUAUCUAGAGUGUAAAGGCAUAAGGAAGCUUGACUGUGAGACCUACAAGUCGAGCAGGGACGAAAGUCGGUCUUAGUGAUCUGACGGUACUGAGUGGAAAGGCCGUCACUCAACGGAUAAAAGUUACUCUAGGAUAACAGGCUGAUCUCCCCCAAGAGUUCACAUCGACGGGGAGGUUUGGCACCUCGAUGUCGGCUCAUCGCAUCCUGGGGCGGUAGUACGUCCCAAGGGUUGGGCUGUUCGCCCAUGAAAGCGGUACGCGAGCUGGGUUCAGAACGUCGUGAGACAGUUCGGUCCAUAUCCGGUGUAGGCGUUAGAAUAUUGAGAGGAGCCUUCUUUAGUACGAGAGGACCGAGAAGGACACACCGCUGGUGUACCAGUUAUCGUGCCAACGGUAAACGCUGGGUAGCUAUGUGUGGAGUGGAUAACCGCUGAAAGCAUCUAAGUGGGAAGCCCACCUCAAGAUGAG
Molecule: ribosomal RNA, 1235 nt
Filed under: metagenome
Description: bacterial LSU rRNA
Rfam family: Bacterial large subunit ribosomal RNA
Source: RNAcentral